RNAcentral lists this ribosomal RNA (467 nucleotides) under uncultured bacterium. Its description in RNAcentral is "partial 16S ribosomal RNA". It matches the Rfam family "Bacterial small subunit ribosomal RNA", at positions 28 to 507 of the family's 1533-position model. The record is from RNAcentral.
GACGAACGCUGGCGGCGUGCUUAACACAUGCAAGUCGAACGGAAAGGCCUCUUUCGGGGGGUACUCGAGUGGCGAACGGGUGAGUAACACGUGAGUAACCUGCCCUUGACUUUGGGAUAACUUCAGGAAACUGGGGCUAAUACCGGAUAGGAGCUCCUGCUGCAUGGUGGGGGUUGGAAAGUUUCGGCGGUUGGGGAUGGACUCGCGGCUUAUCAGCUUGUUGGUGGGGUAGUGGCUUACCAAGGCUUUGACGGGUAGCCGGCCUGAGAGGGUGACCGGCCACCUUGGGUCUGAGAUACGGCCCAGACUCCUACGGGUGGCAGCAGUGGGGAAUCUUGCACAAUGGGUGGAAGCCGGAUGAAGCAACGCCGUGGGCGGGAUGACGGCCUUCUGGUUGUAAACCGCUUUCGCUCGUGACGAAGCUUUGUGUGACGGUAGUGGGUAAAGAAGCACCGGCUAACUACGUG